RNAcentral lists this ribosomal RNA (454 nucleotides) under uncultured bacterium. RNAcentral's name for it is "bacterial SSU rRNA". It matches the Rfam family "Bacterial small subunit ribosomal RNA", at positions 27 to 507 of the family's 1533-position model. The record is from RNAcentral.
GGACGAACGCUGGCGGCGCGCCUAACACAUGCAAGUCGAACGAAGCACUUCGGUGCUUAGGUGGCGGACGGGUGAGUAACACGUGAGCAACCUGCCUCAUAGAGGGGAAUAACACCGGGAAACUGGUACUAAUACCGCAUGAGACCACAGAGUCGCAUGGCUUAGGGGUCAAAGAUUUAUUGGUAGAGGGUGGGCUCGCGUCUGAUUAGGUAGUUGGUGAGGUAACGGCCCACCAAGCCGACGAUCAGUAGCCGACCUGAGAGGGUGAUCGGCCACAUUGGGACUGAGACACGGCCCAAACUCCUACGGGAGGCAGCAGUGGGGAAUAUUGCACAAUGGGGGAAACCCUGAUGCAGCAACGCCGCGUGAGUGAAGAAGUAUUUCGGUAUGUAAAGCUCUAUCAGCAGGGAAGAAAAAGACGGUACCUGACUAAGAAGCACCGGCUAAAUACGUG